RNAcentral lists this ribosomal RNA (497 nucleotides) under uncultured bacterium. RNAcentral's name for it is "partial 16S ribosomal RNA". It matches the Rfam family "Bacterial small subunit ribosomal RNA", at positions 28 to 507 of the family's 1533-position model. The record is from RNAcentral.
GAUGAACGCUGGCGGCGUGCCUAAUACAUGCAAGUCGAGCGAACGGACGAUAAUCUUUCUUCUCUGAUGUUAGCGGCUUACGUGUUAUUAACACUUUUAUAACCUACCUAUAAUACUUGUAUAACUUCGUGAAACCGUAUCUAAUACCGUAUAAUAUUUUUAACCGCAUUUUUCAAAAUUUAAAUACUGUCUUGCUUUCACUUAUAGAUGUAUACGCUCUUCAUUAGCUAGUUUGUAAGGUAACGGCUUACCAAGGCAACGAUGCAUAGCCGACCUGAGAGGGUGAUCGGCCACACUGGAAAUGAGACACGGUCCAGACUCCUACGGGAGGAAGCAGUAGGGAAUCUUACGCAAUGGGCGAAAGCCUGACGGAGAAACGCCGCGUGAGUGAUGAAGGUCUUCGGAUCGUAAAACUCUGUUAUUAGGGAAGAACAUAUGUGUAAGUAACUGUGCACAUCUUGACGGUACCUAAUCAGAAAGCCACGGCUAACUACGUG